AGGGUCAUGCUUCACCAUUUUCUUCUUCUUCUCUAUAUAUGAAAUGAAAAAAAAUCUAAGAUCGACUUCAUGCAACUAGUCAUAUAGCUCGAACUCUCUUUAUUUACUUUUGUGAAUUAUUUUUUUUUGUAGAAGAAAAAAAUCUAAUUAACUUAUUUGCUAUAUCGUGUUCUUUCUAAAUAUUUUUAUUUUCACAGCAUCCUGUGAUUCCUAUACAAAAAAAUCACAUCCAGUCAUAAUUGUCC
This 245-nucleotide long non-coding RNA is filed under the name Elaeis guineensis (African oil palm). Its description in RNAcentral is "long non-coding RNA (EGUI_LNC006882)". Lineage: Eukaryota; Viridiplantae; Streptophyta; Magnoliopsida; Arecales; Arecaceae. The record is from RNAcentral.